UUAUUGGAAGGGGAGGAGAACAGAUUUCAAGAAUACAGCAGGACUCGGGUUGCAAAAUACAGAUUUCUCCCGACAGUGGUGGCAUGCCUGACAGGUCAGUGACAUUAACAGGCUCACCUGAUGCAAUCCAGGCUGCAAAGAGUUUGCUCACAGAGAUUGUCGAGAAAGGUAGACCUUCUCCAGCAUUCCACCACAAUGAUGGACCAGGGAUGUCUGUUCAGGAGAUCUUGGUCCCUGCCUCCAAAGCUGGUCUGGUCAUUGGAAAGGGAGGAGAAACAAUCAAACAGUUACAGGUAAGGUGCACAAAU
Long non-coding RNA from Sinocyclocheilus anshuiensis, 308 nucleotides. RefSeq lists it as uncharacterized. The transcript has 3 exons. NCBI's taxonomy places the organism in Eukaryota, Metazoa, Chordata, Actinopteri, Cypriniformes, Cyprinidae. The record is from RefSeq and is a predicted model, not a curated record.